Molecule: long non-coding RNA, 3108 nt
Organism: Equus caballus (horse)
Lineage: Eukaryota; Metazoa; Chordata; Mammalia; Perissodactyla; Equidae
Source: Ensembl
UGUGGAGGUGGGAGACAGUGAUCUUGAUGAUCCUGACCCUGUGCAGGCCUGGGCUGAUGUUGUUAUAAAGUCGACGGUAGUGUACCGUGAGGUUCCAGGCCUUCACAUUCGCUCACUACUUCCUCGCUGACUCAUCCAGAGCAACUUCCGGGCCUGCAAGCCCUGUUCAUGGUAAGUGCCCUAAAAUGGUACAGAAGUACCUGUUUUGUUUUUUUUUUUUUUUUAAAGAUUUUAUUUUUUCCUUUUUCUCCCCAAAGCCCCCCGGUACAUAGUUGUAUCUUCUUCGUUGUGGGUCCUUCUAGUUGUGGCAUGUGGGACGCCACCUCAGCGUGGUCUGAUGAGCAGUGCCAUGUCCGCGCCCAGGAUUCGAACCAACGAAACACUGGGCCGCCUGCAGCGGAGCGCGCGAACCCAACCACUCGACCACGGGGCCAGCCCCCAGAAACUAGGAAUGGUGCAAAGAUGCUGAGGAAAUUGGAGUCAUUUGGAAACUUCUGUUCUAAGGGGAAGGUUCUAUAUGUCAGAAGAUGCCAAAAGGUCUCAAGAAGAUUACAUGGUACCUCUAGAGGUGUUCGAUGUGUUGACAAAUUCACACCUCCUAUAUUCCCUGAUUCUAUUAAGAAUCCUUAGGGCAGCUGGACGGCAGAGCCACUGAGAGCAUUGCAAGAAAAGCCAACGGGGUGCCAGGCCAGUCAUCGCUGAUGGGGGAACGUGUCAAGGAUUAGGAAGGUCUUAUGCAAACUGCGGAGAGACAACAGGGAGGCACCUGCCUUGAGAAAAGCCCCGCUCCUUUGUCCCUGGUUGCUUCAUAUGACCAGUAUCUGCCUGCCCCGAACACCUGCCCGUCCAAAUACAAUACUUAGAAUGACCUUUGUUUAUUCGCUCCUAUAGUCAUUAUUCUCUUCACCUAAAAGGACAGGACACAAUGAACUUAUUACUCAGCUUGGCUGUUCACAGUCACUAAUCCUAGCGAUGAUGUCAACCUGCCCCAUCUUUGAUCAAAGAGUACACAACAAAAUCUGCCAGGAAGAUUUUUAGGCCUGACUCAUUGAGAAAUGAAAAUAAUUAUAAAAGUAAUAUGUAAAAUUUAAAGUACAUGAAUUCCACCCUGAUAUAUAUAUAUAUAUAUAUAUAUAUAUACUUAGCUAGCAGGAUGCUGUAGGGCAACUUCUUGCUUCCCUUUAGGACCUAGACUCAGUCCCUCAACUUUUGACGGCUGCAGAUGGUUCACAGCUGAGUCCCUGUCUGAGCGUUGCACUGGGUAAGAGAGCGUCUGCUCCCGCGAGCUUAUGCCUCCUCCCCAGGAGCAGCCCACACCCAGAGACUGGUUAAUGCAGGGGUAUGAAGACUUAGCCCCCUGGUCUUGAUAUAGGACAACUUCUGAAAGGCCGUCUCAGCUCCAGAAAUUUUCGUAGGACCGGCUGAGCUCUCUGCUGCAACUGCUCUGCGCUCAACUUCUCUCGGCCCAAUUCUGUUUCCUUUCCUUCCUACAAGGAUUGUUCCCAAGAGCACCCCCUGUAAACUUCCUGCGUGCAAUUCUCCACCUCAAACUCUUUUCCAGGAGAACGGAGCUAAGAGAGCACCCGCCCAAAAGGAGAAAAGGUUUUCAUUGAGGAGAAGUUCACUGAGAUAAUUUUCUUACUACUCCUGUUAUUUGUAUAGUAAACCCUACUGAUCAGAAAACUGAGACACCACGUAUGAAAAGACUUCAUACCACAGAAUUGAUGCAAUCUCCUGUUUUUCUUGAAACAUAUGGUUUUCUCAGUCUCUCUCUCAUUGUCCCAGUUUUACUAAAGGUACAGUGUAUCAGGUUUAACUGCUUUUAACAGAAAACUCAAAUAUGACUCUUAAAGAAGAUAAAGUUUGAUUUUUCUCUCUAGUAGAAGUCUACUGAAGACAGUCCAGAGCUGGGAUGGUAGCUCCAUGGUUGUCAGAGACUUAAGUUUGUUAUAUUUUUUCUUCACCCUGUUGAGCCCUUGACCUCCAUCCUCACAACAGCUCAGGAUCCAAAUAGGUGCUGAAGCUCCUGCCAGCAUGUCUGCAGGCAGAAAAAGGAAGAAUGGAAGGGCCAAAAAAAAAAAGUGAUUUCUUUGUAGUUGUCAGCCAUCUUUAAAUAAUAGUUUCAGGGGUCUUGCCCAUAAACUUCCACCUAUAUCUCAUUGGUGACUACUAUUUGCAAGGGUGGAGGGUAAACAUAAUUUUUAGUUGGGUCCAUGCCAACCCUGAUAAAAUAGACAUCAAUUACUGAGGACAAGAGGGGAGAAUGCAAGAGUAGGCAACUGGUAAGCUCCGCCUUACCUAGGUUAAAAGAAAAGUCUCUACUUGAAGAAAUCUAUAUAGGGCAAGAAUGAUAAGCAGCGUCUGACCCUUGGGCUCCAUGUGGGGAGGUAACUGGAAGUGGUGGGAGCUGUGAUGAGCAGGAGCACUCAUCCACCAGGUACAGCUGGAGCCACCCCUGCCAUGUGGGAAUGGAGUCCAGUUGGGUCUGAUCUUCCAAUUUUCCAAGAGAAGCUGGCAAACCAGAUUUUUAUGUGAAUUUUCCCUUUUUUAAAAUCAACAUCCACAUUUUUAUAAAAUUCUGUGUCUGAAUUUUGUAAUCUGUAUCUAACCUCCAGUUUGCAAUCUCUGAUCAAGAAGAGCCAAUUUUCCUUGGGGCAAAACUUCAGGAAAUUUGUGCCACACAGUAAGACGUGGACUCUAUUGCUUUGCAAUCCAAGGUGAGGGGAAAAGAACUUGAAAUGAAGGUACAGGUGGCCAGAUGCAUGGACCAGGGCAAAUACUUACACCCUGUGGGCAGGCAGCCCACCAGCCACCUGGCCCUCAACUUCCCUCUUCAGUCAGAAGGAACUGGCUCAGAAGCCGGGUGUACAGAAUUUUUACAAGCACAAUUCUGGAUAAUUAACCCCUCCUUGCUCUAUAUAAAUGCCUGUGGCACAAACCUCAUCAAAUUCCUUCUACACAUUUGUCCGUUCCUUGCAGCUUUCUCUUUUGACCAGCAGAUGGCAGCAAAUAUUGACCAGUCUUGGGCACUAAUUUACACCUUCAGAGUUGAUGUUCUUUUUGAUGCAUUUUUUUAAUUAUGUCAAUAAAAACAAGGAAAAUCAUCUA